GAUGAACGCUGGCGGCGUGCCUAAUACAUGCAAGUCGAGCGAACAGACGAGGAGCUUGCUCCUCUGACGUUAGCGGCGGACGGGUGAGUAACACGUGGAUAACCUACCUAUAAGACUGGGAUAACUUCGGGAAACCGGAGCUAAUACCGGAUAAUAUAUUGAACCGCAUGGUUCAAUAGUGAAAGACGGUUUUGCUGUCACUUAUAGAUGGAUCCGCGCCGCAUUAGCUAGUUGGUAAGGUAACGGCUUACCAAGGCAACGAUGCGUAGCCGACCUGAGAGGGGGAUCGGCCACACUGGAACUAAGACAAGGUCCAGACUCUUACGGGAGGCAGCAGGAGGGAAUCUUCCGCAAGGGGCGAAAGCCUGAUGGAGCAACGCCGCGUGAGUGAUGAAGUUCUUCGGAUCGUAAAACUCUGUUAUUAGGGAAGAACAAAUGUGUAAGUAACUAUGCACGUCUUGACGGUACCUAAUCAGAAAGCCACGGCUAACUACGUG
RNAcentral lists this ribosomal RNA (497 nucleotides) under uncultured bacterium. Its description in RNAcentral is "partial 16S ribosomal RNA". It matches the Rfam family "Bacterial small subunit ribosomal RNA", at positions 28 to 507 of the family's 1533-position model. The record is from RNAcentral.